UACGUAGGGUGCAAGCGUUAAUCGGAAUUACUGGGCGUAAAGCGUGCGCAGGCGGUCUUGCAAGACAGAUGUGAAAUCCCCGGGCUCAACCUGGGAACUGCAUUUGUGACUGCAAGGCUGGAGUACGGCAGAGGGGGAUGGAAUUCCGCGUGUAGCAGUGAAAUGCGUAGAUAUGCGGAGGAACACCGAUGGCGAAGGCAAUCCCCUGGGCCUGUACUGACGCUCAUGCACGAAAGCGGGGGGAGCAAACAGG
RNAcentral lists this ribosomal RNA (253 nucleotides) under uncultured bacterium. RNAcentral's name for it is "partial 16S ribosomal RNA". It matches the Rfam family "Bacterial small subunit ribosomal RNA", at positions 524 to 776 of the family's 1533-position model. The record is from RNAcentral.